Long non-coding RNA from Oncorhynchus kisutch (coho salmon), 3619 nucleotides. RefSeq lists it as uncharacterized. NCBI's taxonomy places the organism in Eukaryota, Metazoa, Chordata, Actinopteri, Salmoniformes, Salmonidae. The transcript is spliced from 5 exons. The record is from RefSeq and is a predicted model, not a curated record.
CCUAACCUUAACCCCUAGCCUAGCUGAUGUUAGCCACCUCGCCAACAUUACGUUUAUUGUACGAAUUGCAAUUCGUAACAUCAUAUGUAUUGUCAUUUUGUAACAUAUCAUAUGAAACAGAUGAUGGACAUCCACAAAUUACCAAAGGAAAGGAAGGUAAUAUAUGAUACUAAUUGAAGUGUCACGAAUUUAUGUUUACUAUGUUACAUCUACCCCUGAGUCCAGGUUGCAAACGGUGGUUUUGUCCAACCAUGUAGACUAGUCACAACCAUGUCGCGUCUCCUUUAAACUAAUGGGAAUAGAUCAGACUACCCACGCUGCGCAGCGCGCGAGCUGUUCACUUUCUGUGCAGUGUGGGGACACGCUAUUUUCUGCUAAAAAGCUAUUUCCCAACAUACAUUAAUGAGUUAAAUUAGAGGAACCAGACAAACAACAUAAGAUUUCACCAGCCGAAUGCACUAAUGAGGACUUAAAGCAGGAUUGUGUGAGGAGCAACUCUCUCUGUUUCUCAGUUCUGUACUCAGGAUUAUUGGGAGUGCUUUUGUAAUGUGCCAAGCUAAACCAGAAGAAGACUGCUGUCCUGGUGGGAGGGGCCAUUAGAUCUGCCUACUACCUACAUAUUAAUCUGAUCUACUAGGCCCUCCAACCUUUCCCUGGUCUCUGAUGGAGGGCAGCCCAUUGAAGCAGAAUCCCAGCCCCCAACAACAGCCCAAACCCAGGGGCCACUCCAAUCUGACUCUGGGCCAGUCCUGCAGCACAGAGGACCUGUCUGAGGGCCUCCCCAGGGCCAACUUAAGGAAGGGUUUCUCCCUGCGUAACAUCAGCCUGUGUAUGAUGGACGGGGUCCGGGAAAUGCUCCAGAGGAGCCGGGGGGCCUCCCCAGAACCCCACUGCAGGCGCAAAGGGGACACAGGGCCACUGGAGCCCCCAUCUGCUGUGCCUGCCCCGACAGCCCCGCUCUGCCACCCUCAGGGCCCCGCCAGCCGAGGUGCAGAGGGAAGGGGCCCUGCGCUAUAUGGUGGAGGCGACUCGCAUAGCAUGGGCUGCAGCACUCAGUGGCAGAAGUGUCGUCUGCUGCUCAGAAGGAGGGGGGGGCCGCUACUGAGGGGGAGGGGGGCUUCCUCCUGGAGUUCUAUGUGCCGCCCAAGGUGGGUCUCGUGGUCACUUCCUGUGUUUUACAUGGAUUUGGUAGAAAAAAUCACAUACCUGUAUUUUUUAAAUGUAGUCAACGCUAUAGGAUUACAUUGGGCUCCUGUAUUGCUGACCUGAUACAAUCUGACACUGAAAAUUAGAUAUCUUUUGUCAGUGUUUGCGGUAUCUCUGGUGUCUCCUCUGUCCUCUCUUUGGCCCAGUCAUCCAAGCCCAAAGUGAGUUCCUCUGACAGCUGCUGUGGAGGUGCGGACCACCAUGCCCCUGGAAAUGCCAGACACGGACAACACCUUUGUCCUUAAGGGACAGUGGAGAUGACAUUGAGCUGACGUCUUGUCCUCGCGGCCAGUUCCCCUCGGUGUCCACCUGUAGCUGUGAGCUCACAUCUACACCUGCGUCUGUCUGUGGACUCUCAGGGCCAGUGCCAUGUGCACCACCUUUGGUUCCAGAGCGUGGGGGACAUGCUGCAGCACUUCCACUGCCAUCCCAUCCCCCUGGAGUCCCGCUGGGCUGCAGACAUCAUGCUGCGGUGCUACGUCCAGAGACACAGCAGCCACCCAGAGCUCAGAGCGUCUCGGAUGUCCACCCAUACCAGAGAGCCUGGCUGUCGGAACUGCCUCCACCAAUCGGCACACUUAUUUCCCCGAGCUUUGCAGGUGGAUGGCGCAUCUGUGGACUCUCCCCCCAGCUCCCCUGCUCUGCCCCGCAUCCCGCCUCCCUUCCCCAGACUUGAGGAUGGUAGUGGUGGGGGAUUACGGAGUCGCAGUGGCAGCUGCCGCCCUCUGGUGGCUCUGCUGAUGAACAGCAGGAGAGUGAGGGCACACAAAGGACACGAGCAGUGGAGAACCAUUACUCUGUCUACUGAGGAACCUUGAAGUAAUCUAUCACUGAUUGCAUCAGAAUCACAUAUCGGUUUUGUCAAAACUGGAACUGCUGCCAUAAUAGAGAUUUUGCAGGUGGUGGAACAUUCUCCUGUAUAGUUUUUUUGUGAUAAAAUGUAAUAUCUUUUCAGUGCUCAUUGUAUGCCAUACCUCAGACCUACAAGGUGGAAUUCCCCACAUUUAUCCCCUGACUAGAACACAACUGAAUCCCUCUAAGGGAGAAGGAAUGGAUGGGUACGUGCAGUGAACGACUUAAAAUGUCAGUGCUAAGACAUGACAAAGAAGGGGAGGAUUAUAUACACCCCAGUGGAUGGAACUGUUCAACCUUUAUUCCUCCCAGAUGUAGUGAAGGAGAUCGUCUGUGAUCCCCUUUGAUCAAAAGACAAUGUGACCCCAUGUCUGUACCACAUUGAUUCUCUGAGUUUCAUAAAUCUCUUGGCUCCACGGAAUAUUACCAUUAGUCAACAGGGCGCAAUACUCCCUUUUUAAAAACAUGUUCACUAAAAUGUUACUGUGCUUGCUACCAGACCUUGGUUCAAAUACAAUUUCAGUUAUUUAAAAAAAAAUCUCAUACAUUUCAAAGUAUUCAGAUAUUCAACUACUUGUAUUCUCAAAGAAUAUUGGAAUGCAUUUGCAAAUACACUGAAGUAUUGGAAAUGUAUUUGCAAAUACUCAAAUACACAGACAAGUGUAUUUAAGUACAAAUAUUUAAAUACUCCCAUGCAUUUGAACCCAUGUCCUAGGAGUAUUUGAAAUAAUGUUUAGAAAAUAUCUUCACAUGGUAGGCUAUUUAUAUGACAUUAUUUGAAAAUACUUCCAAUAGAAGUAGUUAAUUUUGGACACAUUAUUUGAAAAUACUUCCAAUAGAAGUAGUUAAUUUUGGACACAUUAUUUGAAAAUACUUCCAAUAGAAGUAGUUAAUUUUGGACACAUUAUUUGAAAAUACUUCCAAUAGAAGUAGUUAAUUUUGGACACAUUAUUUGAAAAUACUUCCAAUAGAAGUAGUUAAUUUUGGACACAUUAUUUGAAAAUACUUCCAAUAGAAGUAGUUAAUUUUGGACACAUUCUUUGAAAAUACUUCCAAUAGAAGUAGUUAAUUUUGGACACAUUAUUUGAAAAUACUUUAAAAUAUUUAAAUGAAUAACUAAAUACACAUGUAUUUGAACUCAGGUCUGCUUGCUACUAUGACAUGUAAGGUGUACAUAUACUUAACAAAUUGUAUUCAGUGUAUAGCCUAAUGUAAAAAUAAUUUGUCACACUGUCCCCUCUACUUUAAUCAUGAUUCCUUAGGAGACAUGGUGGUAAAAAUGUACUACACUGACAACACUUUAAUAUUCACCAGCUUUUCAAAUUUGGUACAAUAUAAUAUAUACUUACAAGCACAUCAAGGCAAUUAUAUGGGGAUAAUUACAACUCUACUGCCGCUGUAAAUGUGCAAUUAUUUAAAACGUAUUAUAUAUACCAGUGAGUUCACUCUAGAAUUAAAGUUAGCCUGAUGUUUUCAGACCUCAAGUGGACUAGAUGAGGUUAUCAAACAUGAAUAGGACUACAUUAAUGUCUGACAGCAAAUAAACGUUACUUAUUCUGAA